AUUGAACGCUGGCGGCAUGCCUUACACAUGCAAGUCGAACGGCAGCACGGGUGCUUGCACCUGGUGGCGAGUGGCGAACGGGUGAGUAAUACAUCGGAAUGUACCUUAUCGUGGGGGAUAACGCAGCGAAAGCUGUGCUAAUACCGCAUACGCCCUGAGGGGGAAAGCGGGGGAUCGAAAGACCUCGCGCGAUUAGAGCGGCCGAUGCCUGAUUAGCUUGUUGGUGGGGUAAAAGCCCACCAAGGCGACGAUCAGUAGCUGGUCUGAGAGGACGAUCAGCCACACUGGGACUGAGACACGGCCCAGGCUCCUACGGGAGGCAGCAGUGGGGAAUUUUGGACAAUGGGGGCAACCCUGAUCCAGCAAUGCCGCGUGAGUGAAGAAGGCCUUCGGGUUGUAAAGCUCUUUUGUCAGGGAAGAAACACCGGCUCUAACACAGUCCGGGAAUGACGGUACCUGAAGAAUAAGCACCGGCUAACUACGUGCCAGCCGCCGCCGUAA
Molecule: ribosomal RNA, 501 nt
Filed under: uncultured bacterium
Lineage: Bacteria
Description: partial 16S ribosomal RNA
Rfam family: Bacterial small subunit ribosomal RNA
Source: RNAcentral